This 465-nucleotide ribosomal RNA is filed under the name uncultured bacterium. RNAcentral describes it as "partial 16S ribosomal RNA". It matches the Rfam family "Bacterial small subunit ribosomal RNA", at positions 28 to 507 of the family's 1533-position model. The record is from RNAcentral.
GACGAACGCUGGCGGCGUGCUUAACACAUGCAAGUCGAACGGAAAGGCCCCCUUGUGGGGUACUCGAGUGGCGAACGGGUGAGUAACACGUGAGUAACCUACCCUUGACUUUGGGAUAACUUCACGAAACUGGGGCGAAUACCGGAUAGGAGCUCCUGCUGCAUGGUGGGGGUUGGAAAGUUUCGGCGGUUGGGGAUGGACUCGCGGCUUAUCCGCUUGUUGGUGGGGUAGUGGCUCACCAAGGCGUUGACGGGUAGGCGGCCUGGGAGGGUGACCGGCCACCAUGGUACUGAGAUACGGCGCAGACUCGUAUGGGAGGCAGCAGUGGGGAACAUUGCACAAUGGGCGGAAGCGUGAUGCGGCAGCGCCGCGUGCGGGAUGCCGGGCUUCGGGGUGUAAACCGCUGUCGCCGGUGACGAAGCGUGAGUGACGGUAAUGGGUAAAGAAGCACCGGCUAACUACGUG